UAUCUGUCCAAAAAAAAAAAGACAUUACUACUACUAUUCUUCUUCCGUCUCUAGACUAGAGAAAAAGAGAGAAAAAAGAGAGGUAUGAAAGGAGGGAAAAACAAGAAUUCCGAUUUGGUAUCGGAUACCGAAACGGCACCGGCACCAGCACCAGCACCACCUUGUGAUGAUGUGAAUGAAAGCGAGGGCGCUGCUGAAGGGGAUGUGGGAAUCCAACAACAAGAAUUGACUGCUAAUGAUCAAAAGCCCAAACUUGCUGAAGGGUUUUAUGAGAUUGAGACCGUAAGAAGAAAGAGGAUUCGAAAGGGCAAAAUUCAGUAUCUGAUCAAAUGGCGAGGAUGGCCGGAGACUGCAAACACAUGGGAACCUGUCGAUAAUCUAAUGACGUGCUAUGAUGUUAUCGACGCAUUCGAAGCGAGCUUGCAAUCAGGGAAGCAGCGUAAGCGUAAGCGCACUCAUGGGGUUAAUGACUCUCAAAUCAAAACAAAACAGCAAGAAGAACAUCAUUCCCCUGCAGAUGCAGUGAAGCUUAGGAUAAUUGAGGAACCUGUGCCUCUGCCUACAUUGGAUCAUGUGGAUAGAAAUGCUAGUGGUUUUAAUAAUUUCGAAGUGGCGAAUGACAACGAUUUAAUGUUGGAUUCCUCUCUAAAAAAAAUUGAAGAGCAAAACAAAUUGAAUUUGAAGCUUACUGAACUAAAGGGACUGAUGGCAACAAUAGAGGCCUCUGUUGAAAACGGUGCAAUAGAGGCCUCUGUCGAAAAGGGUGCAAAAGAGGCUUCGGUGGACAAUGGGGCACUGGCAACCAAAGAGGCCUCUGUGGAAAAUGCAUUGCUGGCAACAAAAGAGGCCUCUGUGGUAAAGGGAUUCAUGACAGCAAAAGAGGCCUCUGUGGAAAAUAGGGUGAUGGCAACAAAAGAGGCCGCUGUGGUAAAGGGAUUCAUGACAGCAAAAGACUCCUCUGUGGAAAAUAGGGCGAUAGCAACAAAAGAGGCCUCUGUGAAAAUGGGAGUCAUGGCAACAAAUGAGGCCUCUGUGAAAAUGGGAGUCAUCAUAACAAAAGAGGCCUCUAUGGAAGAUUGGGUGAUGGCAACAAAAGAGGCCUCUGUGGUAAAGGGAGUCGUGAUAACAAAAGAAGCCUCUGUGGAAAAUGUAGUCAUGACAACAAAAGAGGCCUCUAUGGACGAGGGAGCGAUGGCAGCAAAAGAGGCAUCUGCAGAUAGAUCCAACAAUGCCUUCACAAAUGGAUUUUCAAUGGCUGAUGGAACGGAAUCACUUCAAUCUGGUCGCUGCACAGGAGCUAAAAGGAGGAAGUCUGCUUCUGUUCGGAGGUUUAUACCGCAAGCUACUUCAGGUGUAGUGAAGGAUCUCCAAGAUGCUGUAGCAAAUGCUACUAGUGGCCAUUUGGUUGCAUUAAUGCAGGAAGAAGUUCACGAUCAAGGACUUGUAGGAAAUGUUUUGGGUUGUAAUAAUAAGUGUGAUCGGUUCAAAGAUACAUAUGCCAUAACAGAAAUUAUCAAGGCCGAGAGCUAUUCACCACCUGAUAUAGAAAAUGGCUUGAAGGAUGUAUCUGUGACCUUUCUAGUUAAGAGGUCAGAUGGAACGGAAGAUGUUGUGGAUAACAAGUUUAUGAAGACGAAUAAUCCACUUUUGCUGAUAAGCUAUUACGAGAAGCAUAUUCAACAUCAUCCGUAUCAAUGAGUGAGCUGAGGUGAAGGUGGAACUGGUCUAGCUGGACUUGUCUCUAUGUUUAGUGUUGGAAUUUUGUUGCAACAGGCCAUAGGUAUUAAACCUGUUAGACAUAAUUACUAGGGAGUCUUUGCAAGGUUAUAGAGUAGUAUGAAAGAUGAAAGAUGAAAGAUGAAAGAAAGAAGAUGUACAAGUUCAAGUGAAGUGCGUAGUUUCCAUUUUCGAAAGGAACAAACUUCUUAUAGAUCUUUGUAGUGAGGUACUUCAUGCUCUGGAAGGAAAACUCAAAGGAGUUUCUUUCGUUGAUUGAGUAUGAAUGAUAGUACACGUCCAUAUUUCUUUCCAAACUUGGGGUCGAUCUUCUAUCUUGCUCCUUUCAUUCCGCAGUCUUCAUUUCCUUGGUCUGGCCCUUGAUUAGAGGUCUUCAAUCCUUUCCUUUGCUUGUCUUUGAUAUUCUCUCUUUAUGGGCACUCAAACUUUAAGAUCAUGAUUUUCUUCCCUUGUAGAUGAUCUAAUCUUUGUCCUGAUUUGUGCAUAGCAGAUUAACUCA
Molecule: RNA transcript, 2236 nt
Organism: Solanum pennellii
Lineage: Eukaryota; Viridiplantae; Streptophyta; Magnoliopsida; Solanales; Solanaceae
Gene name: chromo domain protein LHP1-like
Exons: 7
Source: RefSeq, a predicted model, not a curated record